AUCGAACGCUGGCGGCAUGCCUAACACAUGCAAGUCGAACGAGAACUGCCGUUCUAGUGCUGCACGGUUGCGUACCGCGUGGUAACCUGCCCUUACGUUCGCAAUAACUCGCCGUAAGGCGUCCUAAUAUCGGCUAAUGUCUCAGGACCAAAGAUUUAUAGCCUUUGGAUGGGCCCGCGUUGGAUUAGCUUGUUGGUAUGGUAAAAGCCUACCAAGGCGACGAUACAUAGCUGGUCUGAGAGGAAGCUCAGCCACACUGGGACUGAGACACGGCCCAGACUCCUACGGGAGGCAGCAGUGGGGGAUAUUGGACAGUGGGCGAAAGCCUGAUCCAGCUAUGCCGCGUGAGUGAUGAAGGCCUUAAGGUUGUAAAGCUCGUUUACCCGGGAUGAUAAUGACAGUACCGGGAGAAUAAGCACCGGCUAACUCCGUG
RNAcentral lists this ribosomal RNA (433 nucleotides) under uncultured bacterium. RNAcentral describes it as "partial 16S ribosomal RNA". It matches the Rfam family "Bacterial small subunit ribosomal RNA", at positions 30 to 507 of the family's 1533-position model. The record is from RNAcentral.